AUAUCAAUAAGCGGAGGAAAAGAAACUAACAAGGAUUCCCCUAGUAACUGCGAGUGAACCGGGAAGAGCUCAAAUUUUGAAUCUGGCGGUCUUUGGGUCGUCCGAGUUGUAAUCUAGAGAAGCGUCUUCCGCGCUGGACCGUGUAUAAGUUUCCUGGAAAGGAACGUCGUAGAGGGUGAAAAUCCCGUCUUUGACACGGACUCCCAGGGCUAUGUGAUGCGCUCUCGACGAGUCGAGUUGUUUGGGAAUGCAGCUCCAAUAGGGUGGUAAAUUCCAUCUAAAGCUAAAUAUAGGCGAGAGACCGAUAGCGAACAAGUACCGUGAGGGAAAGACGAAAAGAACUUUGGAAAGAGAGUUAAACAGUACGUGAAAUUGCUGAAAGGGAAACGCUUGAUGUCAGUCGCGUUGGCCGGGGAUCAGCCUUGCUUAACCGCUAGGCGUACUUCCUGGUCGACGGGUCAGCAUCAGUUUUGACCGUCGGAAAAGGGCCUGAGGAAAGUGGCACUCCUUCGGGAGUGUGUUAUAGACUUGGCUUGAAUACGAUGGUUGGGACUGAGGAACUCAGCACGGCCCUUUGGGUCUCGGGGCUUUGGCCCACGUUCGCGUGCUUAGGAUGCUGGCAUAAUGGCCUUAAGCGA
This 638-nucleotide ribosomal RNA is filed under the name uncultured fungus. Its description in RNAcentral is "eukaryotic LSU rRNA". It matches the Rfam family "Eukaryotic large subunit ribosomal RNA", at positions 40 to 647 of the family's 3401-position model. The record is from RNAcentral. Lineage: Eukaryota; Fungi.